UAAUAAAUUCUUGUGAGCUUGGAUUGCAUUGAUUUUUUUUUUUUUAAGGAGGAAAGUGCCAAGGAUGUCUUUAACGUGGGUCUUAAAAGGGCCUGGUGCUAUUACUAUGCUUGUGAUACUCACAGUGACUAGGCUCUUCUUUGUUAUUAGUGAAGGGGUGUGUGUGUGUGUGUAUGCGCGUGCACGCGCACGCUUCCCUUUCAGCAGGUUGCCAUGCCACAAGACUGCAUCUUUGAGUUUCCAUUCUCACGACUGCUUUUCUCUUCAGAGGUUGGAUUGUCCUCUUCUCUCUUGCUGGUUCUCUUCUUUUCUGCCACAGAUGCUUGGAUGCCAGCCUGACUUUGUUACAGUCCUGUAAACAAAAAAAAAAGCCGUGGCAUUGCCCUAUCUUGAAUUCCCCCAAAUCCCUAUUGGAAACUGUGAUUCAAUUUUUUUCCUUUUAAAUUUUAAUUAUUUUUAAUGUACACAUAGAAAUUGUUGAUAUUUAUACCUUGUGUGUGUUUAGUGGAAUGGCUGCAAGUUAAUGAGUCUAUUAGCUCACGUUUGUGUGUGGGGAGGACAUUUAAAAUUCUAAGGGAUUUUCAUGUAUACAACGCAUUAUAAUGAACUGAAGCCGCCAUAUUGGUGCAAGAGAUUUCUUGCUGGCGAUCGUGCUCCUGUCUCGCCCCCUACACACACAACCUGUCUCUGGAUUUGUUUCUAAUAGACUCUUGUUGUGUAGCCCAGGCAGGCCUAGAACUCAAAUCAUCUUGCCUCUCAGUGCCUUGAGUCGUGAGAUUGCAAGCACAGACAGCAUUUGGAGCCUUUAACCAGUAUCUUCCUUGCCUCCUCUCUCUAUCUCUCUGUCUUGCUCUGCUUCUAUGACUGUCAUGAUUUUGGAUUCCUUGUGCACGUGAGAUCGUGUGAUCCGUCUCUUUCUGAGCCUGGCUUAUGUCACUUAGCGUAAGGUUCUCCAGGUUUGUCUGUCACAUUGUCACAUAAUUCCAGACAUGAUGAUCUGGGCCCACAGUCCUAGCACCUGGGAGGUGAAGGCAGGAGGACCAGGUGUUUAAAGCCAGUCCCAGCUACAUAGAGCAUUUGAGACCAGCUUGACCUUUAUGAGACUCUAUCAUAAUGAAAGCAAACAAAAAAGGGAGGUGGGAGGCAAAAUAUUCAUGGGGAAAUAUUUGGAAAAAAAUAUUUUUACAGCUAUUAAUUUCCGGAUUACUAUUUAGUUGAGCCUAUCCCCUGGUGUUAUAACUGUAUCUUAAUUUUUUAAACUGAAAACAGAAAUACAGUGGAAGCCCACAGUGAGGCCUGGCAGGGGGAGGAGUGUCCUUACUACAGCUCCGUGCAGUCUUGCUUUAUGUUUCGGCAGAGGCUGCCAGCAUCAGAAUGUCAACUAUGCACACAGAGAAACAUAAAUUAACUGACUUUGGAAGGGAACACACUGGACCUCAGAUCUCACUUUUUUUUUUUUGAACCCUGACCUUUAGAAGAAAAAGACAAUUUUUAAAUUAAAACAAAACAAAACAAAACACUGUCUGAGUUAGUCCAAUAAGCAGCUCUCCAGCUGUAGCUUACAGGAAUUAGGCUUGUGUUUUACAUAUGAAAAACAUGUCCUUUAGUUGGAAAAAUGAAUUUUUGGCUUUGGCGUUUACAUUGUGUUGUUUGAAACAAGGUCUCUCUGUGUUACUCAGGCUUGCCUGGAACACCUAGGGUUAAUAGCUGCUCAGACUCUUGAGUGCUGGGGCCGUAGGUGCACACCUGGCCCAGAUCUUUUAAAAUGUAAUCUUGAUGUAGUAACCCAAACCUCCCAUUUCCUUAGCUUCCUUGUGGGUCAUCGUUCAACUGUGCACUGAUCAGUGUGGUGUUUUUUCUGGACACUUGGACUUGGAGUGAUCCCCCUUGGGGCAUUGCUAACUCCCCGUGGAGAUAAUAUGCCACCAUGCCAGCAUUUGCUUUAAUGAAAAUGCAGUGAUUUAGUCGGGGGGGGGGCUUGCAUCAUGGGUACCUAAAUGUUUACCAGUAUUAAGCUAGUGUGGUGACCUGUCUCAUCUCAUCUUAAAAAUUCUGCUUGAUGGAUGGAAGAAGAGUCAGGCCAGAAAGGGAAGGCUGAGGUCACCAGCAGAGUCUGUACUCUGUACCGGUUGGGCCCCUUCUCUCCACUGUCAGCCUGGCCGGGGGUGAAGCUGCUGGCCCAGAGAUGAAAGCGGACAUGUGCCAGUGAAUAAGCAAGUGUCUGAGGAAUCCAAGGCCAAAGGAAGCAAAAUACUCCAUUGUUCCCCGCAUCUCCCCCUUGGCGCCUCCCCCAUACCCCCCUCCUCUGCCCACUCUCCUAGGCCAGCUCACAAGUGUCUGUGGGGGCUGGUGGACUCCCCAUCAUGGGCUUCCUCCCAGGAAAUUUCCUGUGGUGGAAACUCUGGGGAAACUUCCUGUUGGGUAGGUUCCUGCCUGCGACUGAUAAGGGGAACUGCUUAAAACCCCCGCCAGCCACAGCUGCUGUUAAAGGGUGGCAUGGUCUUUCUGUUUCCUCAGUCUGAAGGAACAAGAAAGGGCAAGUAAGCAGAGGCCUCUGAAGUCUCCCCUGGCUAGAAUAUUCUGGAAGCUGAAAGUUCCACUUGGAAUCCGCAAGUUCCUUCAGAGAGUUGGUGCUCAUUGAAACAUGCACUUUUGAGUAUGGGGCUCUACAAACCUUCUAAAAAAAAACCCAGGUCUGAGUGUUUCCAUAUCAUUUCCAAGCCUUCCUCUUAGUCUUCACUGUCAUGCAUCUUCGAGUUUCAGUGAUAGUGUACAGGGAAUUUUAAUUAGUCCUCGCCAAUUACAGAUACAGUCGAUGAUGUGAACAAAGUGGUUCACAUGAUACCAAUGUGUGAAUCGUCUGAGGUACGCUCUGUACGACAGUCUUUAGCCUAGCACAGAAUUCUCAGUAGGCUUCAUGAUUCUGCGACCUGGCCUGGACUUGUAGUUGCUUAUUGUGUUGUUUGCCAGCCCUUAGGCAAAGAUAAUUAUCCCUAAACCAUCCCAUAGGGUUAAGCUCAGCUCUGAAUAUUUCAAUAUUGGGAACUCUAUAGUUACCUUUAGCAGUUCCCGCUGCCUUGCUGUACUGUAAGUUUGGUUCCCUAAUUAGCCUGGUUUCUCCCUAAUGACCUGUAAGCCCCUUGCUAUUUGCCCCACUCUUAAUGUAUAAUAAAGAUAAUUGACCCUUUGCCCUCUGUCUGAUUUCAUAUAGGCAGUUUCUCAAAUGGUAUGCUUUAUGGCUUCAUUUGCUCUAAAUCUAUUUCUCUCCAAGUGUGGGGUUUUUUUUUUUCCUUCCUGGUUCAGGGUUUAACAUACACUUCCUUAAAGUUAAUGGAAAUUUCUACCAGCCACAUUUAUCCAAACUUCCACCUUGGUAUGGUUUCUUUCCUGGUUAUAGAAAAGGAAGAUUUUGGCCUCAGAAUAAAUUAUGAAUUAAACGUGCAUUAUGUGGGGGUUGGUUAUGUCUGAUCGGCACUGCCGACUAAGGAGCCAUGAAAGAAAUUACAGUGAACCGGGAAGAAAAAUGCCGGCUGAUAAGGAACCAGCCUGUUCGACUUCUCAAAGACAAAGACCAUUAUUCAUCUUUGUCCAUAUCCAUGGUAUCUUAAAAUGAUUUGGCACAUAAUCUUGCAACCAUGUUUGCUGAGGGAAUGAAUCUUAAUAGU
Molecule: long non-coding RNA, 3665 nt
Filed under: Mus musculus (house mouse)
Lineage: Eukaryota; Metazoa; Chordata; Mammalia; Rodentia; Muridae
Description: long non-coding RNA chr6:134187545-134191210
Source: RNAcentral